Long non-coding RNA from Leptidea sinapis, 492 nucleotides. RefSeq lists it as uncharacterized. Lineage: Eukaryota; Metazoa; Arthropoda; Insecta; Lepidoptera; Pieridae. The transcript has 2 exons. The record is from RefSeq and is a predicted model, not a curated record.
UCCCGAGUGAAGUUGACGGAUUUUAGCUGCUACAAACACUUUCCAAACAAUAACUUUGCAGGUUGCACUUUUUAAAAGUUUAUGUGAAUUAUAUUGCGCAAAAUGUAUUUUCAAUUAUUUUUACUCAUGUUUUUGUAUUUUUCAAUCCAAAACGUAGAGGCUUCACAAGGUUAUGACUUUGGAGAUUUUUUAGCAACAAUGUUAGGUAUUGGCAUAACGGUGAUUGGUGUUCUUGCAUGCUUAGGCAAUUACGCCAGGCAGAAAGCCAGAAAUGAAUUCAUUUAAUUUUUUAAGUCAUUAUUGUUCCCUAAAGGAUGGUAUUAUAGGUAGAGUGUAACUUUCUAUCUGGUGAUCUUGUACAACAUGAAAAAUAAAUAUUUUAUGCAGUGGAACUUAUCAUAAUCUUGUAUUAUAUCUAACUUCAUUAUAUUAUUAUCUAGGUUAAGUAAUUGUUAUGAUAUAUUAUUAUGUAAUAAAGAAAAGUUAAAUUCA